AAAGUUGGUAGGUUAAAAAAACCUCUACCGUUCAAUGGUAGGAAUGAUAUACAAUAUAUCUCACUUUA
Molecule: transfer RNA, 68 nt
Filed under: Saemundssonia lari
Lineage: Eukaryota; Metazoa; Arthropoda; Insecta; Psocodea; Philopteridae
Description: tRNA-Trp
Source: RNAcentral